Molecule: ribosomal RNA, 302 nt
Filed under: uncultured bacterium
Lineage: Bacteria
Description: partial 16S ribosomal RNA
Rfam family: Bacterial small subunit ribosomal RNA
Source: RNAcentral
GCAGUAGCCGCGGUGAUGCGUAGGUGGCAAGCGUUGUCCGGAAUUAUUGGGCGUAAAGGGCUCGCAGGCGGUUUCUUAAGUCUGAUGUGAAAGCCCCCGGCUCAACCGGGGAGGGUCAUUGGAAACUGGGAAACUUGAGUGCAGAAGAGGAGAGUGGAAUUCCACGUGUAGCGGUGAAAUGCGUAGAGAUGUGGAGGAACACCAGUGGCGAAGGCGACUCUCUGGUCUGUAACUGACGCUGAGGAGCGAAAGCGUGGGGAGCGAACAGGAUUAGAGAACCCAGUAGUCCCUGUCUCUUAUAC